AUGCAAAAAAAUGAAACGAAAUCAAGAAGAAGAAAAUGCAAGAACAUAGGGAAGCAUAACAGAGGCGAUAAGGUGGUGGAUGUGACGAUGAUUUUUGGUGGUAUACGGCUCCUUGAUGAGGAAGAAGAAGAAGAUGUCGUUGCUGUUGUGUUUGAGAAGAAGAUGAGAUCAGGAAGAGAGUUUCGCUUGCACAAAGAGAGGAAGAAUCGACCAAAGAAAGAAGAAAGCGGCGCCGCUCGUGUUUCAUGGAGAAGAAGAACGGAAUAA
This is a non-coding RNA of Vicia faba (fava bean), 267 nucleotides long. Lineage: Eukaryota; Viridiplantae; Streptophyta; Magnoliopsida; Fabales; Fabaceae. The record is from the annotation of a GenBank genome assembly.